RNAcentral lists this long non-coding RNA (271 nucleotides) under Elaeis guineensis (African oil palm). RNAcentral's name for it is "long non-coding RNA (EGUI_LNC069501)". The record is from RNAcentral. Lineage: Eukaryota; Viridiplantae; Streptophyta; Magnoliopsida; Arecales; Arecaceae.
UUGAUCGAAGAGUCCCAAACCAGUGGGACUCUUGACCUCGGUACCUAAAAUAUGAGGUACUUGUAAUCAGAGAAUCCUGAUUCUUGAUCACAGAGUCUCAGACACAUAGAACUCAUAGUCCACGAGCAUUAGGACUCUUCAUCAGUCAUCAGAUCAGAUAGGAACCUCUAAUGUGUGUGACUCCGCAGGUUCGAACCUAAGUCGGUAACACAGGAACCAAUUCCUGUACUAAUCGAAGUGACCAUCAAGAAAUGGUACCCAACAUCCAGAU